Molecule: microRNA precursor, 287 nt
Filed under: Sorghum bicolor (sorghum)
Lineage: Eukaryota; Viridiplantae; Streptophyta; Magnoliopsida; Poales; Poaceae
Description: miR1435a stem-loop (sbi-MIR1435a)
Rfam family: MIR1435 microRNA precursor family (bases 56-253)
Source: miRBase by way of RNAcentral
GUUGUAUUAAUGCACCCAUCAUAUUAUUUACUCUGUUCCAAAUUAUAGGUUAAUUUAGCUUUUUCUUAAGUCAAACUUUUCUAAUUUUGACAAUUUUAGAAAAUAUAUUAACAUCUACAAGUUCAAAUAAAUGCAAUACCAACUACCAAACAUAUUUCAUGGAGGAUUUAAUGAAACAAACUUGAUGUUGUAGAUGUUGAUGCAUCUUUCUGUAAACUUGGUCAAAGAUAAGUUUGACUUAGGAAAAACUAAAGUGACCUCUCAUUCGGAACCUAUGGAGUACUUCA